Podarcis lilfordi (Lilford's wall lizard) is the source of this 1110-nucleotide non-coding RNA. Lineage: Eukaryota; Metazoa; Chordata; Lepidosauria; Squamata; Lacertidae. The record is from the annotation of a GenBank genome assembly.
AAUGUCACAAAAGUUGAUAUGACUUGGCAGCAGAUAUACAGGGACAGAAGUUUUGGAUUCAGCUGGAAAGAUGAGAAGUCCCAUAUGAUUAUGUCAAAGUAAGUAUUUGAAAGCUGUCACUGAAAACAGAGAUGACAGCACAAAGUGGGGAGGAAAAGAGAAAUGUCUAGACGUGUGGUGAGGCUCCCCAAGUUACGCAGCAUGACAACAGAAGAAAAAGAAAAUCAGGAUUUGUGAACUUGCUCCUUUGAUUCCAGUCCCCCCCCAAAAAAACCCUAAUGCUAAAUCGUCCAGCUACUCUACAAAUGGCUUUGUGGUUUGAUUACAAUAUAAAAUUUCUGAAAUAAAAAUAAAAUGUAAAACAUGGAGAUUUUUCUUAUAAGGAAGACAGUUUCCCCAUUUCAGUUGAAUCACUCAUUAUAGCAGCAUUUGUUUUGGACCUUAAGAAGAGCGGGCGCACUGAGAAGCAGGAUUUCUUUACUUAGAAAGCAUUAAUGCUGCCUGCAGAGAGGUUUUCACAGGGCAGACUGGAACGGCUUGCAAAAUGCACCCAGGUAUUCUGGGAGCGUAUGAAUAUAAGCAGAAAGCCGGUCGUGCACACAUAGCAAAGCCCUUCUGAGAGACCUCGCUUUUACCCACACCCCCUCCUUCUACCUAAGUUCCUGACCUCUUGUGUGCAGUCUGUCAAUCACACGGAAUCUUAUCCAGCCAUAAACAUAUCCUUUGUGACAUGCACAAACUUGAGGGGAAGAUAAAACUAACUUUACAGCUUCACGUACCAUAAGCUGGGAUUUGAACUCGCACCAUUAUAUGUAUAAAAAGAGCAACACACUAGCUUAGGGGGCAGCUUUUACUCUGCAUUUCUAAAGCAGGAGGCAAGAUUACAUCUUCCCAGAUCUCAAAGGGACCUUCUUCUAUUUUUACAGAUGCCCAUCUGUUCUGCAGAGUAAACAUACCAAGGAACAGGAGGAAGUUCUAGCAGCUGCAAGACUGACCAUGCAUUUCCACAGUGGCUCCUCAUCUUGGCUGUUGAACCUUGGUUUCCCCCUCCCUUUACUUACCUACACUUUAGCCUCUCUAAAUUACUUACCCUUCGACAUUUCUCCGAUG